CCCAAAGCACUGGGCAAAAAGAAAAAA
This 27-nucleotide non-coding RNA is filed under the name Rattus norvegicus (Norway rat). The record is from RNAcentral. Lineage: Eukaryota; Metazoa; Chordata; Mammalia; Rodentia; Muridae.